UGCAGUCGAGCGGAUGAGAAGAGCUUGCUCUUCGAUUCAGCGGCGGACGGGUGAGUAAUACCUAGGAAUCUGCCUGGUAGUGGGGGACAACGUUUCCGAAGGAACGCUAAUACCGCAUACGUCCUACGGGAGAAAGCAGGGGACCUUCGGGCCUUGCGCUAUCACAUGAGCCUAGGUCGGAUUAGCUAGUUGGUGAGGUAAUGGCUCACCAAGGCUACGAUCCGUAACUGGUCUGAGAGGAUGAUCAGUCACACUGGAACUGACACACGGUCCAGACUCCUACGGGAGGCAGCAGUGGGGAAUAUUGGACAAUGGGCGAAAGCCUGAUCCAGCCAUGCCGCGUGUGUGAAGAAGGUCUUCGGAUUGUAAAGCACUUUAAGUUGGGAGGAAGGGCAGUAAGAAAAUACCUUGCUGUUUUGACGUUACCCACAGAAUAAGCACCGGCUAACUCUGUGCCAGCAGCCGCGGUAAUACAGAGGGUGCAAGCGUUAAUCGGAAUUACUGGGCGUAAAGCGCGCGUAGGUGGUUCGUUAAGUUGGAUGUGAAAUCCCCGGGCUCAACCUGGGAACUGCAUCCAAAACUGGCGAGCUAGAGUAGGGCAGAGGGUGGUGGAAUUUCCUGUGUAGCGNUGAAAUGCGUAGAUAUAGGAAGGAACACCAGUGGCGAAGGCGACCACCUGGGCUCAUACUGACACUGAGGUGCGAAAGCGUGAGGAGCAAACAGGAUUAGAUACCCUGGUAGUCCACGCCGUAAACGAUGUCAACUAGCCGUUGGAAUCCUUGAGAUUNUAGUGGCGCANCUAACGCAUUAAGUUGACCGCCUGGGGAGUACGGCCGCGAGGUUAAAACUCAAAUGAAUUGACGGGGGCCCGCACCAGCGGUGGAGCAUGUGGUUUAUUCGAAGCAACGCGAAGAACCUUACCAGGCCAU
RNAcentral lists this ribosomal RNA (929 nucleotides) under Pseudomonas japonica. Its description in RNAcentral is "bacterial SSU rRNA". It matches the Rfam family "Bacterial small subunit ribosomal RNA", at positions 56 to 982 of the family's 1533-position model. The record is from RNAcentral. Lineage: Bacteria; Pseudomonadati; Pseudomonadota; Gammaproteobacteria; Pseudomonadales; Pseudomonadaceae.